CAGCCAAUCAGAAGGCUCCUAAGAAAAUUUUGGCGGGCGGGGGUCAGUUUUCUGUGGAAAGUGAUAGUGAGUGGACGUGUCGUCGCUGCCGGCUUCGAAAAUUCUACUGCGCAAUUAUUACCCGAUUGCCGGUAUAAUUUGAAAGGCGGGAAAAAUUUCAAUAUGGACGCCAUCAUACUUUUUCAAGAAAUUUGAUGUUUCAUUUGCGUAUUAUAAUUAUUGUGAUCGCGUGCAAUGCGAUCGGUAGAUUCAGUGUUUGCUUCGUAAGUUUUUUAAUAUUUUAGAGCACAAUAGCUCUAAUUAAAUUUAUUUAUCAAAAUCGGGAAAUUAGAGUCAGUGUUUGCUCGUCGAUUAAAUUAAACGGACGCGUUAAUAGUUUUUUAUUUUUAUUUUUUUUUAUUUUUAAUAUUCGUUUGCGGAACAGAGUAGAGUCAGUGCUUCUCGAAGGAAUAAGGCAGUCAUCCAUCACGCCAAGAGAUGCCUGACGUUUAUGAACAUUUCUACUGGACUUCAAUUUUAAAAAAUAUUUGUGACCGCGUGCAAUGCGGUCUGUAGAAUCAGUGUUUGCUUCGUAACAGUUUUUUUCAAAUAUUUUAGUGCACAAUAACUUUAAUUAAAUUGUCAUAAUUAUUCGCGAAAUUAGAGUCAGUGUUUGUUCGUCGCCUAUGUUUUAAAUCGACGGUAGUUUUCUACUUUUUUUUUUUUUUUUAAAUAUUCGUUUUCGGUACAGGAUAGAGUCAGUGUUUCUCGAAGGAAUAGGGUAAUCAUCCACCACGCGAAGAGUUUCUACUUCCUGAUGAUGACCACUUUGACGAUGACAUCUUGGGCCACGACAAUGCAGAUUCUUCGCAUCUAUUGGUGAGUCGCAUGCAUUUAUGUUCCUCCGAUCAUUCAAUCAUGUCGUAGGAUGAAAGAUCCGAAUCGACACGAAUGAUUGGUUGUAUACGUAGAUUUUUGUACGAGCACAGUGACCGCGGGUAUUUAUCAUAUCCGUGAAUAGUAACAUUUCUUUCAUUGUAUUUUAUUUAUUAGAUCAGGAUAGAUCUUCUUGCACGUCGCGUUUUUAAGAUAAUAUUUUAAUAUGAUCAGUAUAAAUGAUUAGUUUGAUUAUUUAUAGUUGAAAAUGUUUUAAUCAUUUGUAAAAUAAAGAUUAAGCAACUAUAUGAAUCGAACUAUAUGAAUUUAGUAGUAAAUAAAAAGGAAUAUUCGAAUAAAUGAGAAAUAUUGAAUUGAUUUUAAUUAAAUCUCCCGUAGUGAAGAAGAAUGUGACUUUGUUAUAUAAUGGAUAAAAAUAGUAUAUAGUAGUCGAUUAUACAAUAAAAUGCAUAUUAUUAUUACUGACAUAAUAAACAAUU
This is a long non-coding RNA of Apis cerana (Asiatic honeybee), 1355 nucleotides long. RefSeq lists it as uncharacterized. NCBI's taxonomy places the organism in Eukaryota, Metazoa, Arthropoda, Insecta, Hymenoptera, Apidae. The record is from RefSeq and is a predicted model, not a curated record.